CUUUAAAUAACCAAGUUUAUAAAGUUAUGUGAUUGACACCUUGAAAUUGGUCAUCCACAACUGCAGUAAGAUGGCAAAUAAUCAGCAUGAGAGAAGCAGGUAUGUCGCUGUGACAAUUGCACGUAAUGUUGGUCAUCACCAUUCCACUAUAAGUCGUUUUGAGAAUAAAAAUCAGGCAACAAACGAUGUUAAAGACCUUCCGAGAUCAAGAAGACCCCCUAUAACAUCUGCUAGGGAAAAUCAAGCAUAAUGAAGGUUGGUCAGAAGGAAACCCAUUGCAAACAAUACAAUCCUAAAAAGAGAGUGAUGACCAUACAUGAG
This 321-nucleotide long non-coding RNA is filed under the name Mytilus galloprovincialis (Mediterranean mussel). Lineage: Eukaryota; Metazoa; Mollusca; Bivalvia; Mytilida; Mytilidae. The record is from RNAcentral.